Myotis davidii is the source of this 4130-nucleotide RNA transcript. It is a transcript of the gene named family with sequence similarity 120B, with no coding region annotated. The record is from RefSeq and is a predicted model, not a curated record. NCBI's taxonomy places the organism in Eukaryota, Metazoa, Chordata, Mammalia, Chiroptera, Vespertilionidae. The transcript has 10 exons.
UUCCUUUCCUUUCCUUUCCUUUCCAGAUCCUUCUGGGAGGUCAGUCAUGGGUGUGAGAGGUUUGCAGGGGUUUGUGGCAAGCAGCUGCCCACAUGUAUGUACAACAGUGAAUUUCAAAGAGCUGGCCGAGCAGCACCAAAGCAAGCAUCCCGGAUGCACGCCCACCAUCGUGGUGGACGCCAUGUGCUGUCUCAGGUACUGGUACACCCCUGAGUCAUGGGUUUGCGGUGGCCAGUGGAAGGAAUACUUUUCUGUCCUGCGAGAUUUUGUGAGAACUUUUACAGAUGUUGGCAUCAAGUUGGUAUUCUUCUUUGAUGGCAUGGUGGAGAAGGAGAAGAGAGAUGUGUGGGUGAAACGGAGACUCAAGAACAACAGGGAGAUUGCCCGGAUUUUCCAUUAUAUCAAGACGCACAGGGAACAGCCCAGCAGGAGCAUGUUCUUCAUCCCCUCGGGGCUGGCCAUCUUCACGCGGUUUGCUCUGAAGACGCUGGGUCAGGAAACCCUGUGCUCCUUACAGGAGGCUGACUAUGAGGUGGCUUCUUACGGCCUCCAGAACAACUGUCUAGGGAUCCUCGGAGAAGACACCGACUACUUAAUUUAUGACUCCUGUCCCUACUUUUCCAUCAGUGAGCUCUGCCUGGACAGCCUCAGCACUGUCAUGCUCUGUAGGGAGAAGCUCUGUGCGAGUCUGGGCCUCUGCCUGGCAGACCUUCCCCUUCUGGCCUGCCUGCUGGGCAACGACGUCGUCCCGGAAGGCAUGUUUGAGACCUUUCGGUACAAGUGCUUGUCCUUCUAUACCUCUGUGAAGGAGAACUGUGACAGGAGAGGCAACGUCAUCUUAGCUGUAGCAGACCACAUAGCUAAAGUCCUUCGCUUAUAUCAAGGUGAGAAAAAGCUGGAAGAGAUGUUACCUUUGGGACCAAACAAAGCUCUUUUUUAUAAGGGGAUGGCAUCAUAUCUUUUACCAGGACAGAAAUCUCCAUGGAUUUCCCCAAAAGCCAAAGCUAUAACAACUUUGGACAAGCAGAUCAUAUCCGUGAGUUCAGACCCUGAAUCCAAGCAAGAAAGUCCUGAGAGUUCAGACCCUGAAUCCAAGCAAGGAAGUCCUGAGAGUACAGAUUCUGGAUCCAAGCAAGAAAGUCCUGUGUGUACGGACCCUGAGUCUAAGCAGGAAGAUCCUAUGUGUACAGACCCUGAAUCCACGCAGGAAGUUCCCAUGUGUACAGACCCUGAAUUCAAGGAGGAAGACCCCGUGAAUAUGGAGCCUGAAAUCAAGCGACAAGUAACCAUGGUUUCAGACACCGAAAUCUUAAAGGUUGCUAGAGCCCAGCACGUGCAGGCGGAGAGCUACCUUGUGUACAACAUCAUGGCCAGCGGGGAGAUCGAGUGCAGCAACACCUUGGAGGAUGCCCUGGACCAGGCCCUGCCCAGCCAGGCCUUCGUCUACCGCCCGGUGCGGCAGCGUGUCUACUCCCUCCUGCUGGCGGAUGGCCAUGAUGGUGCCAGCUUUCCUCCCGUCCAGGAGUGGUUUGUGUACUCUGGGAACCCGCUGACGCACCCGGACCUCGUCAGGCCUCUGCAGAUGAGCCUCCCAGGGGGAACGCCAAGUUUGAAGCUGCUGUGGCUGAACCAUGAGCCCGGAACCCACGCACGGCGUGUAGAGGUGCUCCUCGCCUGUUUCGACCUCUCCUCCUCGAGCGAAGAGCUGCAGGCUGUGCAGAGCCCCUUUCAAGGGCUCUGCUGCCUCCUCGCCUACCUGUUUGUGCAGGUGGACACACUGUGCUUGGAGGACCUGCACGCUUUCAUCGCUCAGGCCCUGUGCCUCUCAGGGAAGUCAGCUGGGCAUCUCGCAGACGUACAGCUCGAUCGUGUGGACCCCAGAGCCGUGCAACUGGGCUCCCUCCUGGUCCGCGGCCUGACCAUGCUGCUGCUGGUCAACAGCGCGUGCGGCUUCCCCUGGAGCACGAGUGACCUCAUGCCUUGGAACGUCUUUGACGGGAAGCUGUUUCACGAGAAGUACCUGCAGACCGAGAAGGGAUACACGGUGGAGGCCCUCGUGGAGCAGAACAGGGCGCGGCUCACCCAGUUCCACCAGCUGAAGUCCGUGGUGUGCAAGGCCUGCCUGCGGGAGGACCGGCGCAUCGCCAGCCGGCAGCUCUGGCAGCCACUCCACUCAGGGAGGCGGGGAAGACCGGGAUCUGGCGCCCAUAGGACGAGCUUUGGAAACAGCCGGUCAGACCAAGGACAGCACUGGAGAGAGCAGGGCUCAGGAAGCAGACAGCAGGAGCCGGACCCGUGGAGAAGGGGCUCCUCCUCUGGGUAAGUCACCCCUUCCGUCCUCAGAGUGCGCUGUCCACCAGACACCGACGUGAGACUCACAGCCACAGCAUAGGCCACUCCAGGGGCCAGAUGUGAAAGGGAGCCAGGUGUCAGGUCCUGCGGACAGACCCCUCCCUAAGCUGACUUGGUUUCCAGAAAAGUCUUUUUUCUCUAGAAAGAGGUUGGUGAGAACAGAUGGCGAGUCUGGACUUGAAUCCCCGGCAGCACCUUCCUUGUCAUCGGAGCCAUGGCUGUUCUGCCUGGAGGGGACGGGCUCGGGGUCCAGGCCUCGCUUUCCGCAGGGAGGGAGGGAGGGAGGGCGGGAGGGCAUCUGCCCAGCUCCUCCGCAGGCCCGUGGGGAGCCUGUGGGCUGGUGCUCAGAGGUGUCGCUCCCUCCCAUCCCAGCACCCCUGGACCUGUGUCCUCUCAGAUUCUGACCACAGUCCUCACAGGUCAUGCUUCCAGCUCUCUGCUUGGGUCCUCGCUUCCUCCCUUCCUGGCGGGAGGGUUCGCUCUGGGGUGGGCUCGGCGGUGUCUGCUGGGCGCCCUCCCUUCACUUGACUGGGAGUGUGUGCUGUCGGGCGUGUGCCGACGGGCUGGUCUUGGCCCAGGCUGCAGGCCUCCAGCGGGGUUCCCUCUUGGAGAGGAGGGUGCAGUGAGUGUCAGGAGCCCGAUCGGGGUGUCUGCUGCUCUGCGUCGCUGGGCACCGGAGAGCUCUUAGCAUUAAAGACAUUUAAAAGGAACCGAGUCUCAAGCAGUCCUCGCUGACAGGCUUUCCAGGAAACCCCAGAGGUGGCAUGCUGAGCCCGGUGACCUCUGGAGCCUUGGUAACGACUAGAAGUUGAAAGCCAGGCCCUUCGCAGCAGCCGUGGCCUAAACCUGGGGGAGGGGUGAUUGCCUGACUGACCCCCCAGCUCCCAGAAGGACUCCUGCACGGCCCCCCCACCCCCUGCCCCGGCUGCCCUCUUCCAAGCAAGAGCCCUGCAGGCAGCUCAGGGCGUGGAGCCCCGGCCUGUCUUGUCCUGAACCCCGACCUGGCAUUUCCCGGACGUGGGCGCCGUCUCCAGGGGUGUCAUGCGUUUGUGUUUCUGGCGUGUGAAGUAGCCUCGCUUCCUGCGGCUCCUCUGUACGGAUGUUAGCAGAUCUGGCUGCUCUUCAGGCACAUCUGGUAGGACCUACAACCUGAUUUCCCAAGUGGUCCAACUGACCUUCUGCCAGACCCCAGGCCCUCUCAGCUGGAAACGAUCCCUUCAGACUUCGACAUGCGACAGGAAGCGGACACAUCCUGCUUAGGGACCAUUGUGCACUGAGGUUCUCACAUCGCCAGCGCUCAGCACCGGGGACAAAGCUGCUCCGGCCUCUUCCCCCGCCGGCGGUCAGAGGGGAACUCGGGAACUCGGGUGGACGGCCUGCUGGCGCGUGGCAUCCCCGCAGCCUCACCCCGCACGGCCUGCCUGCGAUGAGGGUGGUUGUGUGUGUGAUAUGCCACGGGGUGGUUGCAGGGCAGUAGUUCCAGCUGCUAGCCUGACAAGCCUGGAGAGAGACCUGCAGCCUCAGGCCAAGGAUGGGAGUUCUCCGGCCGCGGGCUCGCACUGAGGUUGGAGCUGCUGCUCCACAGCGGCUCAUCUCAGAGGCGGCCCAGGCCCCGGCUGAGGGCCCUCAUCCGGGUUUACAGGGGCACACACAGCACUCUGCUGGACUCCUUGUUCGGAUUUGUCAGAAAUGCUGUUAGUCGCCUCAGCUGGUUUGGCUCAGUGGACAGCAUCGGCCUGUGGACGGAAGAAUCCUGGGUUCGGUUCCGGUCAAGAGCA